CUACGGGUUGCUCCAGUGAGGAAUAUUGGGCAAUGGGCGCAAGCCUGACCCAGCCAUGCCGCGUGAAGGAUGAAUGCCCUACGGGUUGUAAACUUCUUUUGUACGGGACGAAACUUCCGAUCGUGAUCGGAACUGACUGUACCGUUCGAAUAAGCAUCGGCUAACUCCGUGCCAGCAGCCGCGGUAAUACGGAGGAUGCAAGCGUUAUCUGGAUUCAUUGGGUUUAAAGGGUGUGUAGGCGGAAUAGUAAGUCAGUGGUGAAAGCCUGCGGCUUAACCGUAGAAUUGCUAUUGAUACUGUUAUUCUUGAGUAUAGUUGAGGUGGGCGGAAUGUGUAAUGUAGCGGUGAAAUGCUUAGAUAUUACACAGAACACCAAUUGCGAAGGCAGCUCACUAAACUAUCGCUGACGCUGAGGCACGAAAGCGUGGGGAGCAAACAGGAUUAGAUACCCCCGUAGUC
RNAcentral lists this ribosomal RNA (459 nucleotides) under uncultured bacterium. RNAcentral describes it as "partial 16S ribosomal RNA". It matches the Rfam family "Bacterial small subunit ribosomal RNA", at positions 339 to 795 of the family's 1533-position model. The record is from RNAcentral.